Molecule: ribosomal RNA, 1918 nt
Filed under: Salmonella enterica
Lineage: Bacteria; Pseudomonadati; Pseudomonadota; Gammaproteobacteria; Enterobacterales; Enterobacteriaceae
Also listed under: 1 other name
Description: partial 23S ribosomal RNA
Rfam family: Bacterial large subunit ribosomal RNA
Source: RNAcentral
AUCUAAGUACCCCGAGGAAAAGAAAUCAACCGAGAUUCCCCCAGUAGCGGCGAGCGAACGGGGAGGAGCCCAGAGCCUGAAUCAGCAUGUGUGUUAGUGGAAGCGUCUGGAAAGGCGCGCGAUACAGGGUGACAGCCCCGUACACAAAAGCGCAUGUGCUGUGAGCUCGAUGAGUAGGGCGGGACACGUGGUAUCCUGUCUGAAUAUGGGGGGACCAUCCUCCAAGGCUAAAUACUCCUGACUGACCGAUAGUGAACCAGUACCGUGAGGGAAAGGCGAAAAGAACCCCGGCGAGGGGAGUGAAAAAGAACCUGAAACCGUGUACGUACAAGCAGUGGGAGCACCCUUUGGGGUGUGACUGCGUACCUUUUGUAUAAUGGGUCAGCGACUUAUAUUCUGUAGCAAGGUUAACCGAAUAGGGGAGCCGGAGGGAAACCGAGUCUUAACCGGGCGUUAAGUUGCAGGGUAUAGACCCGAAACCCGGUGAUCUAGCCAUGGGCAGGUUGAAGGUUGGGUAACACUAACUGGAGGACCGAACCGACUAAUGUUGAAAAAUUAGCGGAUGACCUGUGGCUGGGGGUGAAAGGCCAAUCAAACCGGGAGAUAGCUGGUUCUCCCCGAAAGCUAUUUAGGUAGCGCCUCGUGAAUUCAUCUCCGGGGGUAGAGCACUGUUUCGGCUAGGGGGCCAUCCCGGCUUACCAACCCGAUGCAAACUGCGAAUACCGGAGAAUGUUAUCACGGGAGACACACGGCGGGUGCUAACGUCCGUCGUGAAGAGGGAAACAACCCAGACCGCCAGCUAAGGUCCCAAAGUCAUGGUUAAGUGGGAAACGAUGUGGGAAGGCCCAGACAGCCAGGAUGUUGGCUUAGAAGCAGCCAUCAUUUAAAGAAAGCGUAAUAGCUCACUGGUCGAGUCGGCCUGCGCGGAAGAUGUAACGGGGCUAAACCAUGCACCGAAGCUGCGGCAGCGACACUGUGUGUUGUUGGGUAGGGGAGCGUUCUGUAAGCCUGUGAAGGUGGCCUGUGAGGGUUGCUGGAGGUAUCAGAAGUGCGAAUGCUGACAUAAGUAACGAUAAAGCGGGUGAAAAGCCCGCUCGCCGGAAGACCAAGGGUUCCUGUCCAACGUUAAUCGGGGCAGGGUGAGUCGACCCCUAAGGCGAGGCCGAAAGGCGUAGUCGAUGGGAAACGGGUUAAUAUUCCCGUACUUGGUGUUACUGCGAAGGGGGGACGGAGAAGGCUAUGUUGGCCGGGCGACGGUUGUCCCGGUUUAAGCGUGUAGGUGUGUGUUCCAGGUAAAUCCGGUUCACUUUAACACUGAGGCGUGACGACGAGGCACUACGGUGCUGAAGCAACAAAUGCCCUGCUUCCAGGAAAAGCCUCUAAGCAUCAGGUAACAUCAAAUCGUACCCCAAACCGACACAGGUGGUCAGGUAGAGAAUACCAAGGCGCUUGAGAGAACUCGGGUGAAGGAACUAGGCAAAAUGGUGCCGUAACUUCGGGAGAAGGCACGCUGACACGUAGGUGAAGUGAUUUACUCAUGGAGCUGAAGUCAGUCGAAGAUACCAGCUGGCUGCAACUGUUUAUUAAAAACACAGCACUGUGCAAACACGAAAGUGGACGUAUACGGUGUGACGCCUGCCCGGUGCCGGAAGGUUAAUUGAUGGGGUCAGCGCAAGCGAAGCUCCUGAUCGAAGCCCCGGUAAACGGCGGCCGUAACUAUAACGGUCCUAAGGUAGCGAAAUUCCUUGUCGGGUAAGUUCCGACCUGCACGAAUGGCGUAAUGAUGGCCAGGCUGUCUCCACCCGAGACUCAGUGAAAUUGAACUCGCUGUGAAGAUGCAGUGUACCCGCGGCAAGACGGAAAGACCCCGUGAACCUUUACUAUAGCUUGACACUGAACAUUGAGCCUUGAUGUGUAG